GACAUGGCUCAGAUUGAACGCUGGCGGCAUGCUUUACACAUGCAAGUCGAACGGCAGCAUAGAGAGCUUGCUCUCUGAUGGCGAGUGGCGAACGGGUGAGUAAUACAUCGGAACGUGUCCGUUUGUGGGGGACAACCAUCCGAAAGGAUGGCUAAUACCGCAUAAGACCUGAGGGUGAAAGCCGGGGACCGCAAGGCCUGGCGCGAACGGAGCGGCCGAUGACUGAUUAG
This 230-nucleotide ribosomal RNA is filed under the name uncultured bacterium. RNAcentral's name for it is "partial 16S ribosomal RNA". It matches the Rfam family "Bacterial small subunit ribosomal RNA", at positions 16 to 244 of the family's 1533-position model. The record is from RNAcentral.